Molecule: long non-coding RNA, 1867 nt
Organism: Gadus macrocephalus (Pacific cod)
Lineage: Eukaryota; Metazoa; Chordata; Actinopteri; Gadiformes; Gadidae
Exons: 7
Source: RefSeq, a predicted model, not a curated record
GAGGUCUAACAGGCAGGUCACCUCGGAUUGGCAAACCUGUUAGACCUCGCCGAGGUCUAACAGGCAGGUCACCUCGGAUUGGCAAACCUAAACUCCUUCACUGGCAAAAUGUAGAUGCAAAUUAAAUGCCAAAAUUAACAUUUCAAUAUUUGUUUUGCGUGUUUCACCAAUAGCUUCGGAACUAGACGGACCUCAUAUAUAAUUUGCUCUUCAUAGAUGCUGUCAGGCGCCCUCAUAUAACGUUUUCUGCCCGGUACGAAAUAGACCGACCAAUAGCAACCCUUUAGGCUAUCUAAUGUGAGGUUGGAUAUACGCAACAUGUAGAGGUGUUUCAACAACAAAGAUGGAAGUUAGUGAACUAAAGACUGUAUAUGCUCACUAAAAGAACGAACGACUACUACUCAAAGAUUUUGAGGAAUAUGUAUUUCUGCAUCACCCGUUCCAAUGCUAUGAUUAGUCGAGGCCUAUCCAAUAGCAUAGCAUCGACCCAUUUUAAAUCGCGCCCUUUAGACACGCCCCUUGGAAAUUGAACAACGCACUUCAACGCAGAGGAUCUAGAAGGAUUUCACAACGAGUCCAUUGGAAGAUAUCGAGGAACAUGAACAUCACCAAUGAAGGAGAGUAACGUUUCCACUUGCUAUAGGAAUUUAGUGAAGCACUAAAUAGUUAAUAAUGAUAAAAUGUGGUCACCAUUUAUUGACUUUUUGGGAGCGGAUUGUACUCCCAGAGGCUUCAACAGAGCGGGUCUGGAGCUGAGAGCUGCAGGUGGAUGUUGGCCAGGAGCCGUUCAGUCCUACAGGAACAGACGGUAGAGGUGAUGGAGGCGGUCGUCUGGAGGUGCUCGUCUGGAGGUCCGUGGCGGUCGUCUGGAGGUGCUCGCCUGGAGGUCCAUGGCGGUCGUCUGGAGGCGCUCGCUGCAGGUGGAGGGAAGGCCGGGAGCCGUGCAGCCCAACGGAUGCAGAACGAAGGACUGAGGCGGAGGUCCUGGAGGCAGAGGCCAGCCUGGAGGCGGCGGUGGCCUGGAGGUCCUGGAGGCGUCCAACCUGGAAGGAGCAACAUGGAGGGCCAGGUGGCGGCUCCUCAUCCAAAGGGCCUGGAGGCGGCCAACCUGGCGGUCAGCCUGGAGGUCCCGGCGGCGGUCGUCCUGGAGGGCCCGGCGGCGGUCGUCCUGGAGGGCCCGGCGGCAGUAGAAUUAAAACUUUCAUAAUAUUUCCAAGGAUUGCAGAGUACCAAAUUAUUUAUGAACAGUUGUUUUUGUUCAGGAGCGGAUUGUACACCCAGAGGCCUCAACAGAGCGGGUCUGGAGCUGGGAGCUGCAGGUGGAUGGUGGCCAGGAGCCGUUCAGUCCUACAGGAACAGACGGUAGAGGUGAUGGAGGCGGUCGUCUGGAGGUGCUCGUCUGGAGGUCCGUGGCGGUCGUCUGGAGGUGCUCGCCUGGAGGUCCAUGGCGGUCGUCUGGAGGCGCUCGCUGCAGGUGGAGGGAAGGCCGGGAGCCGUGCAGCCCAACGGAUGCAGAACGAAGGACUGAGGCGGAGGUCCUGGAGGCAGAGGCCAGCCUGGAGGCAGAGGCCAGCCUGGAGGCGGCGGUGGCCUGGAGGUCCUGGAGGCAUCCAACCUGGAGGGGGCGGCAUGGAGGGCCAGGUGGCGGCUCCUCAUCCAGUGAAGUUAAACUCUUCUUCAGUGCAUCCAUGAUGAAAGGGGAGAAAUGUUCCAGUGUGCAACUGGAACUUGUGUCUCACAUUUCAGAAGGGCCUGGAGGUGGCCAACCUGGAAGGCCUGGAGACGGCCGAGGUCCUGGAGGCAACGGCGGGCCUGGAGGUGGAGGCCAACCUGGAGGUCCUGGAGUCGGUGGGCCUGGAGGCGGCGU